AAGAUGGCGGACGUCAGUGAUUCAAAUCCCAAAUCUGCAGAUGAAGGCCUAUGCAAUCCAAGUGCGAAAGCUAAAAGACUGGGGGUAAAUCUUGCUACCCCAGUAAAGCUAAAAUAGCCAGAAAAAGAAAAAUACAGAUCCGGCCGGUAAAAAGCGCUCUACGCGUGGGCAAAAUUACCCAAAGGAUUCUCGAGGUGGAAAGAAACAGAAUCCUCAAAAUACCUGAGGACACGAUUACUCAGCCAGCUCCGGAGGUUACAUUAAAGUUCAAGGAACAAAAAAACUCGACUGCCCAGCAAGUUUGCAAGUGCGAGCUAUACGGCUGUACACUGAUUAUACUUUAGAAUCUGAAGAGUGCUCGUCAAAGAAAGUUGUACGGAAGGCAAAAGCCGGGAUUCUUAGGUAAUUAAAAGAUGACAUGCAGACGGGAAAGCGCUUAAGAACGACAACAAGAUUCUAUUUCAGGCUUCCCCUUAGUACAGCACACAAAGUACAUCCUGUCGGUCAGGUCGCCACAGUAGGUCACUUCAUCCAUCCGAAAAUCGAAAGCAAGAUCCGCGAGCCAGUUAGUGGAAAUAUAACUAGUCCAGAUGUGGUACGGAAAUGCUUGGAGCAGAAGACCGACAAAGAAAUGUUUGGAAGUCAUGAAGGUCAUCAGAAACCCCGAAAGUCGAACUGAAGAUAUUUCCCCGUUCGCCAAGAUUUGCGAAGUCAUGUCGCACGAGCAAUCAGCGCCAGCAAAUACUGCGGUGAUGACCAAGAGUCACUAAAGCGCAAGACUGAGCAAUGGAGGUGUGACUCACCAUCAUCCAAGUUCUACUUCAGGACAAGGGACGAGGUCAAGGAUGGCGACGAGACAAAGUUUCUCUUCGCACACUAAGAAGAAUGGCAGCAGAGGCUUCUCCUCAGGUAUGGCAGUAACUUUGUACUAAUGGAUGCCACGACUAAGUAUGCGAUCCCUUUGUUUUUCGUGUGUGUCCACACAAAUGUGGGUUAUGAGAUUGUAGCCAAAUUUCACUACCAGAACGAGGACAAUGAAUGCAUCGCGGAAGAACUUAAUAUCAUCAAGAGCUGGAAUCCUACGUGAAAACCAAAGUAUUUCAUGGUAGAUUAUUCGAUGGCGGAAAUAAAUGCUAUAAAAAGCGAAUUCCCAGAUGUUGAGGUAUACAUAAGCGACUUUCACCGCGGGAAGGCGUAGCAGAGAUGGGUCAAAGCUGGCAGUAAUGUACUGACCGAGGGGAACAAAAGAUGUUUCUAGAACUGAUGCAAGCAAUUGCUCGUGCUCGUUCGAAGACGUUCUACAAGAAGGCCGUGGAAAGCCAAAGAAAGUUGUACAUGGGAAAUCCCAAGUACAAGAAUACUGCGAGGUGUGGUUGGACUGUUCCAAUCGUUGGGCUCAUGCAUUUCGUGUUCAACAGGCCGUCAACAUCGUGAAUAUCAACAAUGGAAUUGAAGCGCGGGAUAAAUUGUUCAAAUACAGCUAUUUGCCUGGAUCACUCGACAAAUUAGUUUUAGGAAUAGUGGUGAUGAUUGUGGAGUCGUUUAUCCCUGAUUCCUACCAACAUUACCUAAACAUGACGUGAAACGUGUCAAUUUAGAAAAGGGUGAAUUUCUCGUCAAAAGCAGUUCGAAAAGUACGAAGCUGUUUGCUGUCAAGCUGUCGUAGCCAAGCUGCAAAUGUGAAAGCUGGCGUAAAACGCAUUUCCCUUGUAAGCACAUUUUAGCUGUUUUCAGCUUCUUUGACAAGUGGAGUUUUAACAACUUACCAAAUUCCUACAAAAAUAGCGUCUUCAUAACUCUGGACACCGGGCAUUUUGAUCAAGCCGAUCCAGACGAAGAACCAACCUUGGAGCCGAGUUCAACGGACGAGGGAAAUGACGAUUACGGUCAAGUAUGCGGUGCAGAAACAACAGUUCCCGCAUUAUCUUCCAAUGAAGAUGAUGCACCUGCUCAAUCCAGUGGCACUUCUUCCUGGCCAAAAAUCGACGACAACGAGCAACCUUUAAUAACUCAAAAGCUCAGAAAGCGCCUUCAGGAAAAAAAAAAAUCGAUGAAUUGAGAUCAGCAACAUUCGUGGUCGAUGAUUCAGCUAUCCUUGAGAAUACUAUCCCGACUGUGGAAUCUCUGCCAAAGGAUCUUUGUAGAGGUUCCUCUAUUGAAAAUGGCCUUCCUCUUAGACAUAGUCCUGCAAAAAAGAAGCUCAAAGUUACAGAGGUAGACUACCACAAGGUGAAACAUGAGACACUUCCCAACACGACACGGCAAGAGAAGGAAGGACAGGGGUGUGGUUGUAGACUUGACAAAGGAUGACGGCAAUUCCAAAGACAGUGCUGUGGAAUUAGAAGAGGCCUUAUCAGCUAGGAGAGUCAGAAAUACAGUUGUGUGACGCAGUGACGAGAGUUAAGACCUUGCAAGUCAACACUGGUAUACGCAAUUCAGUACUGAAAGUAGGGCCAUUCAAAGUAACCGUUUCUGACUUGCUAGCCACUCUUCCUCCUAGCACUUUGUUUGCAAAAGGAACACAGAAAAUUAAAGGAGAUCCCUAGUUUUGUGGAUGGUGGUUAACUGAUACGAUCGUUGAUGCUACACUGUGGAAACUAACAAAACUACACCAAAAAAUCUUUGCUUCUGACAGUAGCCUUUGUCAGUUGGUGAAUCAUGGGGCAAGUACACGUAGAUUGUGGAUGGGCGAGAAGUUCCAUGGAAUUGAAAAAAUUCUUAAUCCAAUGAAUAUCACUGGACGUCAGUGGACAUUGCUGAUUUUAGAUAACAAGGAAUCUACCUGUGUCUAUAUUGAUCCUAUUCAUGGAAACAAACAUCCACAUGAAAUAACAGCAGCUUCCAAUCCCAGCCUGUACAGACUUAUAAAUAACAUAGGUGAAGCUGCUGACAUCAAAAUAGGCUGGAAAGUAAAGAGUGGACAUGCCUUGAGCCACCCCAUUUUCAGCAAACUAAUGGAUUCAACUGUGGAGUACGUUUUUGUGAGUUUGCCAGGAACUUGUGUGAUAACAGGCCGAUCACAAAGGUCAAUGUUUCUAUUGAGAGAAUGAAGUUUCUAUCCAACCUGUUGGGGAGCUGUUAUGAUGACAUUUUGAGUGGAAGGGAUGUUCUUGUUUGCAAGGUGUGUCAGAUGGAUGACAAUGAAGACUGGCUUGGCUGCAAAAGAUGUGGACAGUUUUUCCAUGCUAGUUGUGUGGGAGUGAACUUUGUCACGGCAUUGCAAGAUCCUUUUUUUUUAUUGUCCAUGAUCACACACUUAAAAACACACAAAUAGCAACAUAUUUAGGAGUCUUCUUUUCAUUUUUUAAAGUAUGUGAUGGAGUUGUGGCUCAGCUUGUUCAAAUUUACAUUCGAGGAAAAAAAAAUUGUUAGAAAGUGUAUUUUCUAAAAUAAGCUAUAUAAUUUAAAGCAUAUUUUUCCAAAGAAUAUGUGGUAAAAGGGCCUAAGAGGUGUACUGUUAACAGACAAAUCAUUUAAGUCAGUCAAAAUUUGACCGACUGAAUGUGACCAGUAGUACUUCUUUGUUACAGUCACAGCAAAUGUUCCUUGAUUUAGGCACUCAUUUGCUGAGAAACUCAUGAAAUAGAUAGGUCAUGUUCAUUAAACAUCUCUUUGGACAAGAACCGUGGAACCAACAAUUUCAGAAACUGUAAUCGUAAAGAAAGCAAGAGAGAACCAAAAGGGACACAAACAAGCAAAAGACAAAACAAGAAGCAGGUGAUAAAAUGCCCUUUUUUACACUGUACAUUCCAAUCUGAUUGAUAAACCAUUUACCAACCAUUUACAAGACAAAUGGCCGAAGCAUUAGCCUGUAAAGGUCGAGUUCUAAAUAUUUCAUAUCCUUGUACUGGUAACAAAAAAUGAAAAAAAAC
Molecule: non-coding RNA, 3872 nt
Organism: Pocillopora verrucosa
Lineage: Eukaryota; Metazoa; Cnidaria; Anthozoa; Scleractinia; Pocilloporidae
Source: RefSeq, a predicted model, not a curated record